GAGAGGGCUGUAAGAUAAGGCUAUGAGGGUCUACUUAUAGGUGGUGGUUUAGUCAGAAGUGGUUCUAGUCAUAGGUGAAGGGAGUCUUGUGUGCUAGUCAAUCUAUCAGCCAGCUAUCCAGUCAGUCUAUCUUUCAGCUAACUAGCUAGUCAUUCAAUCUAUCAGACAACUGGCCAGCCAGUCAAUCUAUAUAAGCCAGCCAUCUAGUCAGUAUAUUAGGCAGCUAGUUGAUCUAUCAGCCAGCCAGUCAUUCUAUCAAUCUGCUUGUCAAUCUAUCAACCAGCUGUACUCAAAGCAAUCUAAACUGCCCAUUUAGGUCACAAGGAUUCCAUCACUAUUGCCACCUCUCCAUAGAUCACAGGCAUAUCUUCUAACAUGCUUCAUCUCCUUAAAACUGUCUCAAUUCAUGCACUCACUCACACAAAUCUACCUCCCAGUGCAUACAGGAUGACAUCUUUGAAGAUAUAGGUAAGCAUCUAGAGCAGCACCUUUACUCCCACAGCCGACAUCUGCAACACAGUUAAUCUCUUCACAUAUCUUAUGAUGGCUUACACAUUUCAGAUGGGGGGAAAAAAAAAAAAAAAAAAAAUAAUAAUAAUGAUAAUCUAGAUAAACUUUUGGAUGUCAAGCACUCUAAAGAGGCAUUAUUAAGCUCACUGGGCCAGUGAGAGGACGAAGCGAUGAUAAGAUAAUGGUGGUGGCGGCGAGAAGUUUGACAUGGCAAGACGACAAGAGCAAUAACAAACGGACCAGCGAGGACUCUUGUAGCUUUUUGUAGUGUAGUGCAUAGACUGGGAACAUUUGCAAUGGGAAGUAGUGGUGUAGUUGGAUGCCUGAAAAGCAGUAGUUCCCAAUCUAUGGUUCCAGGUGGUACAUGAGCAAUUUUGGAAUCAUAAAGAAUUUUUAGUAAUAUUAAAUUAAUCUAUUUCUCAAAAAGAUAUUGCCUUAUACAAGAUAAUCUGGCAUUGAUCAGUUGGUGGAGAAGAAGUGAAUGCAUCCUUUGUAUUAGAUUGAGUUGUGUUAUGGUAAGGUACUUGUGAAUAAAUUCACAUUUGCUGGAAUUAAGUUUUUCAGGAACCAAGUGGUAUGCGGGGACUGUACAGGACCUCCAAGUGGUACUCGCUCAGGGAAAGUUUGGGAAUCCAUGCUGCAGAUGAAGGGAAUAAUAUAGUAGGGGUAACAGCACUGUGGCAUGGCUGAACAAAUAGAGUGGUGGUGUGCCAUCCAAGGAACCACUCAACGAGACUACUUUGCUGCUGGGUAACUUCUUAGGCAGAGAGUCAUGCUGUUAAUGGGAUCAACUUGGAGUGUCCGGGCAUCAACACUUUCACUUUUAUGAAUGUGCCAUCUUCUUGUGACCCAAAUCUAUCAAUAAGUGGUCAGAAGCCAAAACCCACCAGUUGUCAUCCACUUCCCUGAUGAAGAUGCUUUGUCCCAUGCUUCCUCCUUGCUGUCACUCUAGGAGGCAUCUUCUGUGUUACAAAGUUCUUUACCUAAAGACUUGGUAACACAGAUUCAUGAGGAAGACUUGGUAACACAGAUUCAUAAGGCAGACCUCCUUGCAUUGAAGAACAGGCAGUGGGCAGAGAAAGCAUGGCAGUUGGCGGAAGAAACUUGGCAGCAGGCAAGGCGAGAACAGCAGCUCAUGCAGCAGGCAUGCCAAGAGGUUUAUGAGGCACAGUUUCUUGCCUUCAAUUUACUUGUGAAGACCUUAAGGUGGUAGCUUUAAAGCAUUAGUUUAUAAAUAAAUAUAUUUAU
This is a long non-coding RNA of Portunus trituberculatus (swimming crab), 1758 nucleotides long. RefSeq lists it as uncharacterized. The transcript is spliced from 3 exons. The record is from RefSeq and is a predicted model, not a curated record. NCBI's taxonomy places the organism in Eukaryota, Metazoa, Arthropoda, Malacostraca, Decapoda, Portunidae.